CGGGAAGUAGCUCAGCUUGGUAGAGCACAUGGUUUGGGACCAUGGGGUCGCAGGUUCGAAUCCU
This 64-nucleotide transfer RNA is filed under the name Pontibacillus litoralis JSM 072002. It matches the Rfam family "tRNA", at positions 1 to 61 of the family's 71-position model. Rfam says of the family: Transfer RNA (tRNA) molecules are approximately 80 nucleotides in length. Their secondary structure includes four short double-helical elements and three loops (D, anti-codon, and T loops). Lineage: Bacteria; Bacillati; Bacillota; Bacilli; Caryophanales; Bacillaceae. The record is from Rfam by way of RNAcentral.